AUUGAACGCUGGCGGCAGGCCUAACACAUGCAAGUCGAGCGGAUGACGGGAGCUUGCUCCUUGAUUCAGCGGCGGACGGGUGAGUAAUGCCUAGGAAUCUGCCUGGUAGUGGGGGACAACGUUCCGAAAGGAGCGCUAAUACCGCAUACGUCCUACGGGAGAAAGUGGGGGAUCUUCGGACCUCACGCUAUCAGAUGAGCCUAGGUCGGAUUAGCUAGUUGGUGAGGUAAAGGCUCACCAAGGCGACGAUCCGUAACUGGUCUGAGAGGAUGAUCAGUCACACUGGAACUGAGACACGGUCCAG
Molecule: ribosomal RNA, 304 nt
Filed under: uncultured bacterium
Lineage: Bacteria
Description: bacterial SSU rRNA
Rfam family: Bacterial small subunit ribosomal RNA
Source: RNAcentral